This 4314-nucleotide long non-coding RNA is filed under the name Citrus sinensis (sweet orange). RNAcentral's name for it is "long non-coding RNA (CSIN_LNC001274)". Lineage: Eukaryota; Viridiplantae; Streptophyta; Magnoliopsida; Sapindales; Rutaceae. The record is from RNAcentral.
UUUAAUUUUGUAAAAUUCAUUUAACCUGCACUUGGUCGCCCCUAUUCUCUGAAUGGUUAUGGCGAUAUCAUCAUUAUCGUUACUUGUACCAACGCUAAACCCUUCUUAUUCCCUUUCUCGCCUGUCAUACCCUAACAUUAUAUCCCGUGUCCACACUAAAGACAAGUAGUCAAUUCAGGCCAUCAGAUUAUAGUGGACCCACAUCAAUCCAACUGCUCACAAUGACCGACAGCCUCUCCAUCUCCAUUUCAGGUUUCCUCUUCAACUGGCUUCUGCUUCCGCCGUAUUUGCUCCAUUUCUUGGAUUCGGAGUCCGUAUUUGGUCGGUCGGUCCCGCACAGCUCCCUCUCACUCCAAUUGUCACCCAACAAGACCAAUUGCUUAAUCAAGGCACAGAACAAGAAGAGGAUGAGAAAUUGAAACAAGAAUUUGAGAAUUGGAAAUCGAAAACGUACGCAUUGACCGUGCCUUUGAGGGCAAUUACUUUUCUUGAGAAUUGAAGUUUGGUAAUGUAAUUUGUUCUCCAUCUGUGUUCCCUUUGUAGUCAUUUCAUAACUAAAUUGAUUGACUGUACAGUGCAUUUCAACAUAGCAUAUUUAACCGUUUUAACAGUUAUUUGGACCGUCUUCAGAGCUAACAUCAACAAACUCAUUCAUAUGCUUAAUAAUGAACGAAUAGUCUUGGAUCGAUGUUUUGCAGCAAGAGCAACACGACACAAUCUGGAUUCAACCUCCUCCUUUCUAACAGGGGAUUUCGAUUUGAGUUACUUUGUGCUCAAGCAAAUUCACAUCAUAGUUUUGAUUCUUUAGAUAUGAAUUCAUCACUUUACAUAUAUCAGAUUAAUGUGUAACAAAAUUUUUAAUUUACUGCGAAAAGAAUAUGCACUAAAAAAUGAUUUCAAGACUAUUUGACUACAAAAAGCAGCUGUCAGAGUGCACUAAAAAUUUCUGUAGGAUAUUUUGUAGCUGUUUAAUAUGUUAUGAUGGGCAUAUAAUUCUCAAAUUUUGAUGCCUCUCAGCGAAAAUCUAUCAAAGUUACAGAUGAUAUCACGUAAAACAUGCAUGGCUCAGGCUCAGGCUCAGGUAAGAAAGCCACAGAAAAGGAAAAUCUCACUGUCACGACUCACGUCACGCAUCAUUCAAGUGAUGGAUUUAACAAGACUGCUUAUGUUCUAUCAAAUUCCUCUGCCUCUCAGAAGAUAACUUUUCUGGGCCAAAUUUCUCAUCUAAAGCAUAUUAUGCCCCAAAGUCACAGAUAACAAAAUGGGGCACUACCGAUUAUGAAAGAGAACUAGUAGUUGUCAGAAGCCUAAGCCAAAUUCCGGUAGUAAGAAGAGGCCUUUCUUGAGUUUAGAUUAUGUGUUCGAGUUUUAAUAAAUGCCUAAGUUAAUAAUAAUAACAACAGUAAUAAUAAACUAAAAAGCAUAAUUACUAUUGAAUGGUAAAAAAAAAAAUGAAAAUGUGUGAACUCCAAUAACCACCCCAGUGGCGAAUUUUGGAGAGGGCUAGGCCGGGCUUCUUUUGUCACUGAGCAGUGUCAAUAUCGUCUAACAACUAACUUGAUUUUGAUAUGACAAACACACGGUGUGUCUCUCAUGUCUCACCCAUGUCUCACCAUGAUGGAGAAUUUUUCUAAUGCAUGAAGUAAGCUUUGAUAUGUGGGUUAGCUUGGAGAACAUAUCUCAAAAUGAAGAAGAUGGGGAGUUAAUGGGAAGAAACAGUCCAGUAGUUUAUAAUUCUGUCGACGAGCUGUAUCUCUAACAUGGUCAAAAUUUAUGUGAAUAAGGACAGGGAAUCGUCAUUCCUCUUUUCCUUUUUAUACCGGGAUAUCUCUCAACCUUUAUAUGUUGCCCGCUGGAGAUCUCCUUCUAAUAACUAAAAUAAAAAUUUCAUCCACUCAAAUAAAUGUUGACCAAGCUUUCACAAGAAAAAGUAACAUCUUUAGUGAAGUAAUUUACAGUUCCUUAUCAUCUUCGUGUGAGUCUAUCAGUAUGAUCCAAAAACAUAAUAAAUCUUGUUAGAUCCUGUUUAUUGAUGUUUGAAUGUUGUUCAUUGUGCAAUGUAGAAAUGAUGACGUGAAGUUUCUUUGGUCAUCAAUUAGUGAGAUCUUGUUUGAAGUUGUUUUCUGAAAUGAACUGCAAAAUGGUAGUUUUUUUUUUUUUCUUGGGUGCAUUUGAUGGCUCUUUUCUCCUCAUUUUAAGCAUGUGUCUGCUUGGAAUGGGAAGGAAUAGGCUUCAGAGUUGUUAUAUAUGUUGACAUGCUCUGGUCAUUACAAAAUAUGUUCAAAUUGGAAAUUAGAAUGAGAUAUUUGUUGAUGCUUUUUGAGAGAUCUGCAUUCUAUGCACCAUAACAUGAUGAAUGAAAAUGGGUUUAAGGACUGGAAAGAUCUGUGGCUGCCCGAGCUUGCAGGAAGGAUUUCAAUGGUUAAUUCUCCCAGAGAGGUUAUUGGUACAGUUUUGAAGUAUAUGGGAGCAUCAUACAAUUCAAAUGACAUUGAUUAGCAAGCUGCUGCUGGAAGGAUUGCUGUUCAGCAGAAUCUGGCAUUACUGGGAAACCAGGUACUCUUAAAGAAACGAUAUCUGGUCAAUGCAUAUUAUUGGGUGACGGCUGAUUUUGUUUGUAAAGUGUGCCUUUUCAUACCUAUGAAUGCAUAUGUUAGUGUUGUGUUCUCCUUUCCAUAAAUAUGAAUGCAUAUGUUGGUGUUCUUUUCUGAGAUGGAUGCAAUAAAGGCUUUUUCUUCUAAAUUUAGUUGAAGAAAUGGCAAGGAAUGUGAGAUUCUAUCUCAUUAAAUUAACAAAAACCCAAAACAGUGAAAACCCAUAUUAUGUGGAUGAAUUGGCGACAUUUGGCUUGUUUCCUGAACGUGAAUUAGCAAGCAAUAGAGACUAAAAAAAUGGAGUGAUAAUAACAAGUCAUUGUCAUUUGAUGAAUGCAUUUUUAAGCAAAAAUAGGUUUGUAACUGAAUAAAUUUGUCUGGCAUGCCAAUAUCAAAAAAUUAAAUUAUGUGGUUAUGAGCUGUAAUGAAGGGGGAUUGUAGGUGCAAUCAGAUCGAUCCAAGAAAGUUCAACAAAGUUCUGGUUUGGUGUAGUGAAAUUGGUUUGUGCAACUUGAGUCUUUCAGAUGAACAAUGACGAGUUUUCAUUUAAAAAUGUUAUAAAUCUGCCAUGCAUAGUAUUCUAGUAGAAUCAUCUAUAAAUUCAAGUUAUUGAAAUUGUCUAUUUGUCCAGUUUGAGUUAAGGACGCAUGUAAUAUGAAAAAUUGUUGUCGAAUCCCCUUCAUCUUUGAUGGAAAGAUGAAAUAAAAACAAAUUGGUGAAAAUGGUAUUGGUACCUGAGGCUAUGUAAUCUAAUUCAAAAACUGCACCAUCAAAACGAUUACAUAAGUCUCAGAAGAAUCAAAUAUCAGUUUGCAAAAUAUCAAUUGCUGGAGGUUUGAUUCUAACUUCCGCUCUUCAUUUUUAUGGGCAUAUUGUGUUGUACUUGCAUCCGAAAAUCAUAUUUUAGUUUACUUGCACUCAAUGCUUGGAUUAAAGUUUUUUUUUGGGGGGGGGGGGAUUGAAGAAGACUAAAAUUACACCAAAAAAGAGUUGAGCGAGAGCGGGUUUUGUCUUCAUUUAAGGAGCUCUUUAUAAAUUUUGGGAUUUUUUUCCUGAGAAAAUUUAUGCCAACUCAUUCUUUGCUGUUGUCGAAUAUUGUAGGUUAGCUAAUAUUUGAUCAAUCCUAUAGGGAGGGCUUUAAGAUGUCUAACAACAUGUAGAAUGCCUCUGCUUCCCCCACAAUUUUUAUCUUAUACAAUUUUUAUCUAUAAACAGUAUUUGCCAGACCUUAACCGUUCAGAUUCCCCUUCUCGACUAUCAUACCCUACACCCCAUCUCCGUGUCUCCGAUAAACAGUGCUCAAUUAAGGCCAUCAGAUUAUCCCGGUCCCACAUUGAUCAACGGCUCACAAUGACCGACAACCUCUGUCUCCAUUACAAGCUCCCUCUUCAACUCGCUUCUGCUUCCAUCCUGCUCUUUCUCGGAUUCGGAGCCCGUAUAUGCUCAGCUGGUCCCACAAAGCUCCCUCUCACUCCAGCUGUCAACCGACAAGACCAAUUGCCUUAUCAAGACACAGAACAAAAAGAGGAUGAGAAAUUGAAACAAGAAUUUGAGAAUUGGAAAUCGAAAACGUACGCAUUGACUGUACCUUUGAGAGUUGUUUCUCUUCAGAAUUCAGUGCCUCAAUCUUGGGUUAAGGAUUUUAUGCGAAGUCAAGGAAAGUGAUUGAAGUUUCAGAUGAAUUUGUGUGCUAGCAUUGGUGGGAUCUUUAACAAUUUAU